RNAcentral lists this ribosomal RNA (497 nucleotides) under uncultured bacterium. Its description in RNAcentral is "partial 16S ribosomal RNA". It matches the Rfam family "Bacterial small subunit ribosomal RNA", at positions 28 to 507 of the family's 1533-position model. The record is from RNAcentral.
GAAGAACGCUGGCGGCGUGCCUAAUACAUGCAAGUCGAGCGAACAGACGAGGAGCUUGCUCCUCUGACGUUAGCGGCGGACGGGUGAGUAACACGUGGAUAACCUACCUAUAAGACUGGGAUAACUUCGGGAAACCGGAGCUAAUACCGGAUAAUAUAUUGAACCGCAUGGUUCAAUAGUGAAAGACGGUUUUGCUGUCACUUAUAGAUGGAUCCGCGCCGCAUUAGCUAGUUGGUAAGGUAACGGCUUACCAAGGCAACGAUGCGUAGCCGACCUGAGAGGGUGAUCGGCCACACUGGAACUGAGACACGGUCCAGACUCCUACGGGAGGCAGCAGUAGGGAAUCUUCCGCAAUGGGCGAAAGCCUGACGGAGCAACGCCGCGUGAGUGAUGAAGGUCUUCGGAUCGUAAAACUCUGUUAUUAGGGAAGAACAAAUGUGUAAGUAACUAUGCACGUCUUGACGGUACCUAAUCAGAAAGCCACGGCUAACUACGUG